RNAcentral lists this transfer RNA (77 nucleotides) under Paracoccaceae bacterium. Its description in RNAcentral is "tRNA-Arg". It matches the Rfam family "tRNA". Rfam says of the family: Transfer RNA (tRNA) molecules are approximately 80 nucleotides in length. Their secondary structure includes four short double-helical elements and three loops (D, anti-codon, and T loops). Lineage: Bacteria; Pseudomonadati; Pseudomonadota; Alphaproteobacteria; Rhodobacterales; Paracoccaceae. The record is from RNAcentral.
GGCCCCUUAGCUCAUCUGGAUAGAGCGCCAGUUUCCUAAACUGUAGGUAGCAGGUUCGAGUCCUGCAGGGGUCACCA